Molecule: long non-coding RNA, 2126 nt
Organism: Hyaena hyaena (striped hyena)
Lineage: Eukaryota; Metazoa; Chordata; Mammalia; Carnivora; Hyaenidae
Exons: 8
Source: RefSeq, a predicted model, not a curated record
AGUUGGACACUUAACCAACUGAGACACCCAGAGGCCAUAAAGAUGAAUAGAGUAAGAAUAUAAUAGAGGCCCUUUGAUUGUUGAAAAGACUUCUACGGCAUUGGAGGAAGCCUGGAGGCUCCAAAGCAUAGAUCUCAGCAAGGUCUUUGUGUGGGAGCUAGCAACAUGCUGCUCCAUAAGAAUGCAGGCGCAGCCGUGUGGAGAUCACGUUGACUGGGUGGCAGCGACAUGGACUUUUGGGAUCAGCAGCUCUUGGUCAAGAAACAAAAGCAGAAUCCUCCCAAUUCCCCAUGGAUUUGAAUGAAAACUGCUGAUAAAACCAAGUACAACUGCAAAGGAGAUGUCGGAGAAGAACCAAGAUGGUUUCAACUCAAUAAUGGAGGAGGGUCGCAUAGAACAGAAUCAUUCCUGUUGGCAGGGGGAAGCAUGUAGACAUAUCAAUUCUUCAGAAGGUGAUGCUGGACAAGAUACAGAAAGAGAUGUUACUCUGAGACUGACACAGGCAUCUCUCAGAAAUAGCAAAAGAAUGCCUCAUAUGAAUGAAAGCUUUAAUCAUCCACAGCUCUACUGGAGAAAAAUCUCACGAAGAUGGGGUGUUGAAAUAAAGGUAUUGAUCUACACAGUUUCAGGCUCAUUUAUGAAUUACGAAUGGAUCAUGUUCUUUACAGACUUACAAAUAUUAUCUAUUAUCAUCAUUUGACAUUUCUGAGAGGAUUCACUAAAAUUGGAACUCAGUAUUACUGAAAACUAAAAGGCUGGAAAAAGAGACAAAACGCUUUUCCAAAACUGCCAAAAGGUGUGUCUCAGUGCUCUAUGGACAGAAGUGGGCACCCAUCUUACAGGCUGGUAGAAGUUAUUUUGGGUAGACCCUCAUGGUCAAACAGUGCAAUACCCACUUAUUUUCCUUAGAUUAACUCUGGAUAUUGGCAAAGUAAUCUAAAGGAAAGUACUUCAAACUGAGAUAUUGUUUUGUUUAUUCAUGUAAAAGUAUGUUCUAUAGUAGGGAUGCAAUGGUGGUUAUCACAACAAAAGAAAAUUUAAUGUGGGUAACAUUUCUAGUUUUCCACAUUUGUGGGGUUGGAGUCAUUCCUUUCCUCCCUGCAGAAGCAUACCCAGACACUGCAAUCCUUUGACUUUCUAACUGAUUUAAGGAACACACUGUAAACCAGAAGAGAGGCCUAUUGAUACUACAGUACUUUUGAACUGGUCACUUCCACAUUUACCGAAUCUCUGAAAAGACUGAAAUGAACAUAAGAGUCCAUGAAAUACAACACUCUUAUUAUCAAAUGCUCUGCCUCAUCCAACUCUUCCCAGCGCAGAAGAACUGUGUUCUCUCUUUAGGGUGACUCUACACCCUCAUUUGGCACUUUGCAUCUGAAUCUUUAUAUUUGCAUGCAUUCCCUUAGCAACACAUUGUAAUUCAACUCAAUUCAAUCCCACUUGGUUUAAAAUAUUUAUUCUGUACCUAUUACCUGUCAGGGACUGUGAGAAGUAUUGGUGAUAAAUACCUGAGACAUGGUCCCUGGCUUCUUAUAAACAGCUUAAUAUAUAGAUGAGGAGGCUGGCACAUGAUCCGAGUUUAGUGGGAUAAGUGCAACCACAGAAGUAUGACCGAUGGAACAGGUAGCAGCGUAGAAGUAACAGGGCUGAAGGCACAGGUGUCGAGACAUGGUUCUUACAGAUGUGACAUUUGUGAUAGGCUCUGGGACCAGUUGAUGGUCCUUAGGCAAGGGUAGGAGAAAGAUAAUUCUAUUUUAAGCAGAAAGAAAGCACAUGCAAAGGACUAGAACAUGUCAUAUUUGACCCAUUUGGGGAAAUGCGAGUAGUGCAGCACCAAUAGAGCAUAUACUUUAAAAUAAUGGAGAUCAACAGGAGAUGAUACUUGGACUCAGAUGAUUAAAGAGAGGUUUUGUAUGUUAUGCUAAAAAGCUUGGAUUUUAUCCUAAGGCCAGAGGACAUUAAUGCAAUGAUUUGUACAGGUAAGCGACAGAAAUUACUAUUAUUUUUUUGGUAAAGUGUGGAAAAUGUUUUAGAGGAGGUGUAUGUUGUAGAAUGUAUGUUAAAACCUAAUCUGCAAUGGGGCACCUGGUUGGCUCAGUUGGUAAAACAUGUGACUCUUGAUCUCA